UCAUGAAAGCCGUUUGUACCCGAAGUCACCGUGCUAACUCGCAAGAGAGGCAGGUGCCGAAGGUAUGGAUGGUGAUUGGGAGUG
RNAcentral lists this ribosomal RNA (84 nucleotides) under uncultured bacterium. RNAcentral's name for it is "partial 16S ribosomal RNA". The record is from RNAcentral.